Punica granatum (pomegranate) is the source of this 1268-nucleotide non-coding RNA. The record is from RefSeq and is a predicted model, not a curated record. Lineage: Eukaryota; Viridiplantae; Streptophyta; Magnoliopsida; Myrtales; Lythraceae.
AAAAAUAUUACUUGAUAUAAAUGGUACAUAAAUAUUUUUAUCAGGGUGACAAAAUACUAAUUUUACAUGGAAAAACUCAUAAAUAAACAUACUUUUAGGACAAAAUUUUAAAAAAUUCAAAAUUCAAGGGUGGUAAUUGCCCCCUACUAAUACAUUGGCUCCGCCCCAGCCUCAGUUGAACGCUUCUUCUCUAUUCUGCUCCUUCUCGGUUCUGGGAUCGUCUCCCCCCCCAGCUGCGAGCCCACCCUUUUUGCAUUUCCAGUCGUUCAAACUGCUCGCUGAAAUGCCUCAUCCAAUCAUCCGGCUAUCCACGGGUGCCAGCUUGUGAUUAGCCGUUCCUGUGGAGCAGCCAUCCGGUGUGGAAAAAACGAUACCAUUUCAUAGCAAGAGCUCAGGAGACUAAUCCAACAUGUUGCAGGUUCUGCGUCACCUGUGGCAAUAUGCUACAUGCUAUGCUACCCUAUUCAAGGUUUCGGCCACCUACUCACUCGCAACAGCUGAGGAUGAGGCUCUAAGUUUCUAUUUGGAUCUAACAUCAUGAGCUUCUAGGAUAAGCUUCACGAGAAGCUCUCAGUGAGGCCGCCAUUUCUUCCUUUCUCUCAUAUUAUUAGAAAGAUUAAAUGAGGUUCAUAAUACAUGUGGGGAAUUUUGCCAGUAAAUAUCUUCCUUUCUCUUAUGUUGGAAAGAUUAGAUUAGGGAAACUCUUAUAAACAUUUACAAGGCAAUGUCGGAGACUGAACUCACACUCCAAGAUCUAUUUUCCUUCACGCUAAUCUCAUAUGAGAGUUGGAUGUGCAGGAAUUCUCCACCAAGAGGCCUGCAACCGGUGGCUCAAAUGUACCAUGUCCUUGGACCGUGGCUAACGUCGAAUGCUUGGUACAAGCUAUGGUGAAAAAAAGGUGCUGCAGGUAGCAUCCAGCGCAGGUCAUCAGCUGACAUGUCAUUCUCUCAAAGGGUCGCAGGAGCAAUCGAGAUGGCUAUAAAAUUGAUAAACGAGCUGAAUUCCAAAAUGGGCCAGCCUUGUCCUGAUCGAUUUUGUUUGCAGUACAAGGGAGGCGAUAGAUAACUCCAGUCGCCUUGCUUUGCUUCUCUGUUUUUGUACUUCUAUCAUCUAAGAGGGAGGCUCCCUGUGCCUUCUCUUUAAGCUCAUUGAAUCUAAAUGGAAUCAUUUUGAUGUACUUUAUUAGUUGAAUAGCCGAGAACAACUGGAUAAUCAACUUACGUCAUGCUUGGUUCGCGGGGAUGUUAUUGAUGAUGAAUUAAAUAGA